GAUGUUGGGUUAAGUCCCGCAACGAGCGCAACCCUCGUCCUAUGUUGCCAGCGGUCAUGCCGGGACUCAUGGGAGACUGCCGGGGUCGAACUCGGAGGAAGGUGGGGAUGACGUCAAAUCAUCAUGCCCUUAUGUCUUGGGCUUCACGCAUGCUACAAUGGCCGGUACAAAGGGCUGCGAUACCGCGAGGUGGACGCGGAAUCCCAGAAAGACCGGUCUCAGUUCGGAUUGGGGUCUGCAACUCGACCCCAUGAAGUCGGAGUCGCUAGUAAUCGCAGAUCAGCAACGCUGCGGUGAAUACGUUCCCGGGCCUU
Molecule: ribosomal RNA, 314 nt
Filed under: uncultured Nostocoides sp.
Lineage: Bacteria; Bacillati; Actinomycetota; Actinomycetes; Micrococcales; Intrasporangiaceae
Description: bacterial SSU rRNA
Rfam family: Bacterial small subunit ribosomal RNA
Source: RNAcentral